Molecule: ribosomal RNA, 433 nt
Filed under: uncultured bacterium
Lineage: Bacteria
Description: bacterial SSU rRNA
Rfam family: Bacterial small subunit ribosomal RNA
Source: RNAcentral
AACGAACGCUGGCGGCAGGCCUAACACAUGCAAGUCGAACGCUUCAGCAAUGAAGGGUGGCAGACGGGUGAGUAACGCGUGGGAACCUUCCCAGUGGUACGGAAUAGCCCAGGGAAACUUGGGGUAAUACCGUAUAAGCCCUUCGGGGGAAAGAUUUAUCGCCAUUGGAUGGGCCCGCGUCGGGUUAGCUUGUUGGUGAGGUAAAAGCUCACCAAGGCGACGAUCCGUAGCUGGUCUGAGAGGAUGAUCAGCCACACUGGGACUGAGACACGGCCCAGACUCCUACGGGAGGCAGCAGUGGGGAAUAUUGGACAAUGGGCGCAAGCCUGAUCCAGCCAUGCCGCGUGAGUGACGAAGGCCUUAGGGUUGUAAAGCUCUUUUGGCGGGGACGAUAAUGACGGUACCCGCAGAAUAAGCUCCGGCUAACUUCGUG